UACAGAGGUGGCAAGCGUUGUUCGGAAUUACUGGGCGUAAAGGGCGCGUAGGCGGCCUUCUAAGUCAGACGUGAAAUCCCCCGGCUUAACCUGGGAACUGCGUCUGAUACUGGAGGGCUUGAGUAUGGGAGAGGGAUGUAGAAUUCCAGGUGUAGCGGUGAAAUGCGUAGAUAUCUGGAGGAAUACCGGUGGCGAAGGCGGCAUCCUGGACCAUUACUGACGCUGAGGCGCGGAAAGCUAGGGGAGCAAACGGG
This 254-nucleotide ribosomal RNA is filed under the name uncultured bacterium. RNAcentral describes it as "partial 16S ribosomal RNA". It matches the Rfam family "Bacterial small subunit ribosomal RNA", at positions 524 to 776 of the family's 1533-position model. The record is from RNAcentral.